RNAcentral lists this ribosomal RNA (253 nucleotides) under uncultured bacterium. Its description in RNAcentral is "partial 16S ribosomal RNA". It matches the Rfam family "Bacterial small subunit ribosomal RNA", at positions 524 to 776 of the family's 1533-position model. The record is from RNAcentral.
UACAGAGGGGGCAAGCGUUGUUCGGAAUUACUGGGCGUAAAGGGCGCGUAGGCGGCCUGUUAAGUCGAACGUGAAAUCCCCGGGCUCAACCCGGGAACUGCGUCCGAUACUGGCAGGCUUGAAUCCGGGAGAGGGAUGUGGAAUUCCAGGUGUAGCGGUGAAAUGCGUAGAUAUCUGGAGGAACACCGGUGGCGAAGGCGGCAUCCUGGACCGGUAUUGACGCUGAGGCGCGAAAGCGUGGGGAGCGAACAGG